UACGUAUGGUGCAAGCGUUAUCCGGAAUGACUGGGUGUAAAGGGAGCGUAGACGGUUGUACAAGUCUGAUGUGAAAGCCCACGGCUCAACUGUGGGAGUGCAUUGGAAACUGUAGAACUAGAGUAUCGGAGAGGCAAGUGGAAUUCCUAGUGUAGCGGUGAAAUGCGUAGAUAUUACGAAGAACCCCGAUUGCGAAGGCAGCAUACCGGCUCCACACUGACGCUGAGGCACGAAAGCGUGGGUAUCGAACAGG
RNAcentral lists this ribosomal RNA (253 nucleotides) under uncultured bacterium. RNAcentral's name for it is "partial 16S ribosomal RNA". It matches the Rfam family "Bacterial small subunit ribosomal RNA", at positions 524 to 776 of the family's 1533-position model. The record is from RNAcentral.